UGGUGGAGUGAUUUGUCUGGUUAAUUCCGAUAACGAGCGAGACCUCAGCCUACUAAUUAGUAGUGACAAUCUCUGAUUGUUAACUACAUCUUAGAGGGACUAUCGGUGAGUAGCCGAUGGAAGUUUGAGGCAAUAACA
Molecule: ribosomal RNA, 138 nt
Filed under: uncultured eukaryote
Lineage: Eukaryota
Description: partial 18S ribosomal RNA
Rfam family: Eukaryotic small subunit ribosomal RNA
Source: RNAcentral